GACGAACGCUGGCGGCGUGCUUAACACAUGCAAGUCGAACGGAAAGGCCCCUUUGGGGGUCCUCGAGUGGCGAACGGGUGAGUAACACGUGAGUAACCUGCCCCUGACUUCGGGAUAACGUCAGGAAACUGGGGCUAAUACCGGAUAGGAAUCCUUGCUGCAUGGUGGGGGUUGGAAAGCUUCGGCGGUUUUGGAUGGACUCGAGGGUUAUCAGCUUGUUGGUGGGGUAGUGGCUUACCAAGGCUGUGACGGGUAGCCGGCCUGAGAGGGCGACCGGCCACCUUGGGACUGAGAGGAGGCCCAGACUCCGACGGGUGGCAGAUGGGGGGAAUAUUGCACAAGGGGCGGAGGGCUGAUGCAGCAACGCCGCGGGCGGGAUGACGGCCUUCGGGUUGAAAACCGCUUUCAGCAGGGGCGAAGCUUGUGGUGACGGUACCUGCAGAAGAAGCACCGGCUAACUACGUG
Molecule: ribosomal RNA, 465 nt
Filed under: uncultured bacterium
Lineage: Bacteria
Description: partial 16S ribosomal RNA
Rfam family: Bacterial small subunit ribosomal RNA
Source: RNAcentral